GCCUGGGUGGCUCAGUCAGUUGAGCAUCCGACUUCAGCUCAGGUCAUGAUCUCGUGGUUUGUGAGUUCGAGCCCCACGUCAGGCU
Molecule: transfer RNA, 85 nt
Filed under: Felis catus (domestic cat)
Lineage: Eukaryota; Metazoa; Chordata; Mammalia; Carnivora; Felidae
Rfam family: tRNA
About the family: Transfer RNA (tRNA) molecules are approximately 80 nucleotides in length.
Source: Rfam by way of RNAcentral